GGAUGUGUUACUUCCUGUUGGUUACAGUGCAUUCUAUACAAUUUUAUUUUUUUCACUAUGCAAAUGUUGCCAAAAUCUUAAUAGUAUAAUACCUAAUUAUACUGAUGUGUUUAUUACCUAUGACAACCUAAUAUUUUCAUUGAAUUUGUUUUGGGCAAAAAUUGCUGCUGUUUGUGCUUAAAUGUUAGAUUAUUAAUUUUAAGCAGGGCUGAAAGACACUAAUACAAAUAAUUCAUUUUUAUGCCCCACCAAUGAUAGUAGAGGGGCAUUAUGUUUUCUGGUCUGUGCGUCCGUUCGUCUGUCCGUUCGUCUGUCUGUCUGUUCGUCCGUCUGUCCCGCUUCAGGUUAAAGUUUUUGGUCAAGGUAGUUUUUAAAGAAGUUGAAGUCCAAUUGACUUCAAACUUGGUACACAUGUUCCCUAUGAUAUGAUCAUUCUAAUUUUAAUGCCAAAUUAGAGAUUUUACCCGAAUUUCAC
This 475-nucleotide long non-coding RNA is filed under the name Mytilus galloprovincialis (Mediterranean mussel). The record is from RNAcentral. Lineage: Eukaryota; Metazoa; Mollusca; Bivalvia; Mytilida; Mytilidae.